UGGGGUGGUUUUAGUACGUAUGACCUGACUAGAGCAAGGAAUCGUGCAUGCCAAUGGGUCAUUGGUAUCUCAUGAAGAUUUCCACUCCUCA
Molecule: non-coding RNA, 91 nt
Organism: Drosophila persimilis
Lineage: Eukaryota; Metazoa; Arthropoda; Insecta; Diptera; Drosophilidae
Source: Rfam